AUGUGGCGGAAAGUGGAACAGGUUUCAGAUACAAGGAAUUUCGACUACGUCACCCAUGGGAAUUUCACCCAGGGAAAUAUAAAUGACACCUACAAGAUUGUGAUUAGGUCACCCAGGUUCGACUCUCUAAAAACAGUUGGCAGAAACGUGGGUAUCAAAAGUACAAAAUUUUUAUUAAUACAACAUUUAAAUUUAAAGCAAGAAGACAUUACAUUAAAAUGCAGCCAUUGUACAAGGCAGCGUCUGAGGGCUCGGAAAAGAUGUAUGGCUAACAAAGUUUCAAAUAAACAAAAAAGAAAAAAAAACAACUCUUUAACUAAUAUUAACACAGCUUACAAAGACAAAAAACCACAGACUUACAGGGCUGAGGUACACCACAGGAGGAGUGAUCACUAAGCAAGUUAGCCAAAAGCACACUCACACACAUACACCACCGUGCACUCAGAUCACACCACCAAAAUGCUUCAAAAGUGUUGUAACAAAUUAGCUCAAAGUGAGAUGUACAUAAUCAUAAUGGGUUAUUAUUAAGUACAUUCAUCUUCAGGAAUUACUUGUAGCAUUAUAUCAUUAAUAGUACAAUAAAAUGAUUUGUUCGUCCGCAGGGCGGACAGUGUUAAUCGUUUAUUGACUCUAAGUAAAAUAAUUUCUCUGGCCACAAAAAAUAAUUUUACUACUAAUACAUUGCUCCCAGAGCAUGUAACGAAACCGGAACGUUAAAGUGACCUCGUCCUGUGAGCAGCAAACACAAACAACCAAGUGUGAAUACAUAUGGAUGUUUAUUAAACUACACUACAGGGGAACAUGCAAUCAGACUAAACACAAACAUACACACAUUAAACAUAGAUGCCAACGCAAGUAAGGCAUGGAGAGAGAGAGAGAGAGAGAGAGAGAGCGCACUGCAGAGAGUGAGCGAGCGAGCGCAAGAGGGUGGAGAGUCAUGGCAGUAUAUACUCAUAAACUAAAUCACAACCUGUUAAGAACCAUCAAAGAAUCUCAUCACCUUAAUUAAAAGGGGUCAAAGCCUAGAAGCGCAUCUAAAUAGUUAACAAGCGGUUACUUGCAUUGGUUCUGUAGUUGCUGAGUAAAGUGUCCCGGUGCAUGUAUACAGGUCCUUCUCAAAAAAUUAACAUAUUGUGAAAGUGUUAAUUAUUUUCCAUAAUGUAAUGAUAAAAAUUAAACUUUCAUAUAUUUUAGAUUCAUUGCACACCAACUGAAAUAUUUCAGGUCUUUUAUUGUUUUAAUACUGAUGAUUUUGGCAUACAGCUCAUGAAAACCCAAAAUUCCUAUAUCAAAAAAUUAGCAUAUUUCAUCCGACCAAUAAAAGAAAAGUGUUUUUAAUACAAAAAAAGUCAACCU
Long non-coding RNA from Cyprinus carpio carpio, 1356 nucleotides. The record is from Ensembl. Lineage: Eukaryota; Metazoa; Chordata; Actinopteri; Cypriniformes; Cyprinidae.